UUUUAGCCCCGAUGGGAGCGGCAUCCUUUUUUGGUAGCUGAAGCGCCAUGCUGAGCUUGUCGAAGUACUCUCGAAGUCACCGAAAAAGAUAGAGCGGACAGCGGGAACGACG
This 112-nucleotide small RNA is filed under the name Flavobacterium cauense R2A-7. RNAcentral's name for it is "Flavo-1 RNA". It matches the Rfam family "Flavo-1 RNA". Lineage: Bacteria; Pseudomonadati; Bacteroidota; Flavobacteriia; Flavobacteriales; Flavobacteriaceae. The record is from RNAcentral.